Long non-coding RNA from Sinocyclocheilus rhinocerous, 777 nucleotides. RefSeq lists it as uncharacterized. The record is from RefSeq and is a predicted model, not a curated record. The transcript has 5 exons. NCBI's taxonomy places the organism in Eukaryota, Metazoa, Chordata, Actinopteri, Cypriniformes, Cyprinidae.
AACACGUAACAACAAUUGUCUGUAAAUGACAAACCUACAUAAUUUUUUAAAAGCACAGACAAUGUAUUGAUUCCAAAAAAGUCUAAACCCCUAAACCUAUUACCUGCAUGUUGAAUGUACAUUUGCAACAUUGUUCAAACAUUCUUGCAUGUUCUUUGUUUAUCUGAUCAACACGUCUGAACAGGAAUACAAAGUGAAGGCAUCACUCAGCAGACACAUUGUUGAGAUCAAGAAGGAAAUCUACUCAUCAAUUCAAACAACCAUUCAAAAGAAAAUGACACCUGGCUACAUAAAAGCUGCAGACGUGAGAGGAACAGGAGCCAUGCAGAGGAUGGAGAAAAUAAUAACAGAAACAAUUGAGCAGUUAAAAAAUCAAAUGUUCAAUGAAGCAAAAGUGAAAGUGACUGAUAUGUUCAAAACCUUGAAGCUGAAUAUAAUGAAGACCCUCGAAUCUGAGCUAAAACAUUCAGUGAAACUCUCGUUUUCACAUGCCGGACAAAUCAGCUGGUUGAAUGUCUCCGGAGAGAUUCAAGAGCUGGAGAGACUGUCAGAACAACUGUCUUCCUGAGUUUUCCUCAGGGUUUGCAAUGUUUGCACAAAAGACACGUCGAUCAGCUGCUUGAAGAUUUGUCUUUGGAGAAGACUGCUGAUAUUAUACUCAAAAAAUUUAAGUAUUACUACUUAAAAUAUAAGAUUACACCAAAAUGCAUUGCUAGCCCACACCAACACUUACAAUAAUGAUAAAUGCUGACCAAAAGUUAAUUACAUUUUGCUUGU